RNAcentral lists this ribosomal RNA (1008 nucleotides) under Triticum aestivum (bread wheat). RNAcentral's name for it is "partial small subunit ribosomal RNA". Lineage: Eukaryota; Viridiplantae; Streptophyta; Magnoliopsida; Poales; Poaceae. The record is from RNAcentral.
AUGGCGGCCGCCUCGGAGGAGGCCAUCAAGCAGUUCUCCGUCCUCAUGGAGCAGCUGGAGGAGCCCCUCAAGACCACAUUCCAGAAUGUGCACCAAGGAUAUCCAAGAGGGACUCUGCUGCGUUUUCUGAAGGCCAGAGAGUGGAACGUUCCUAAAGCUUACAAAAUGCUAAUGGACUGCUUAAAUUGGAGGCUUCAGAAUGAGAUUGACAGCGUUCUUGCCAAACCAAUAUUGCCCGCUGAUUUGUAUAGAUCUAUUCGUGAUACACUGCUUGUUGGAUUAACAGGAUAUUCCAAGCAGGGUCAACCUGUCUAUGCAUUCGGUGUUGGGCUCAGUACCUUUGACAGAGCAUCGGUGAACUACUAUUUGCAGUCUCACAUACAGAUGAAUGAGUAUCGAGAUCGUGUUGUCCUGCCAGGUGCUUCUGAGAUGUCCGGAAAACAGAUUAACACCUGCUUGAAAGUUAUGGAUAUGACUGGCCUGAAGCUUUCUGCUUUGAACCAAAUAAAGAUGUUGAGCACGAUAACAGCUGUUGAUGACCUUAAUUAUCCUGAGAAAACCGAGACGUAUUACAUUGUGAAUGCUCCAUAUGUUUUUUCGGCAUGUUGGAAGGUUGUGAAGCCUCUUUUACAAGAGCGAACUAAAAAGAAGAUCAAAGUCUUAUAUGGCCCUGGAAGAGAUGAAUUACUGAAGGUUAUGGACUACGCGUCACUCCCGCACUUCUGCAAGAGGGAAGGGUCCGGUUCGGGUUCGUCGUCGGACGAAGUCGACUGCUACUCGUACGACCAUCCUUUCCACCAGGAGCUGUACAACUAUGUGAAGCAGCAAGCUCUGAGGAACCAGGACAGCGUCGGCCCCGCGAAGCAAGGGUCGAUGCAUGUGAGGGUGCCGACGCCGGACCUGGAGGAGGCCAAGAUCAUGGAGACGAUCCAGUCGGAGCUCCACAGCCUCAAGGCAGGCGACGGCAUUUCCCGCUCCUUCAGCAGGAUCACGAUCGAAGGUCCAUGA